AGUGAACGCUGGCGGUAGGCCUAACACAUGCAAGUCGAACGGCAGCACAGGAGAGCUUGCUCUCUGGGUGGCGAGUGGCGGACGGGUGAGGAAUACAUCGGAAUCUACUUUUUCGUGGGGGAUAACGUAGGGAAACUUACGCUAAUACCGCAUACGACCUACGGGUGAAAGCAGGGGACCUUCGGGCCUUGCCCGAUUGAAUGAGCCGAUGUCGGAUUAGCUAGUUGGCGGGGUAAAGGCCCACCAAGGCGACGAUCCGUAGCUGGUCUGAGAGGAUGAUCAGCCACACUGGAACUGAGACACGGUCCAGACUCCUACGGGAGGCAGCAGUGGGGAAUAUUGGACAAUGGGCGCAAGCCUGAUCCAGCCAUACCGCGUGGGUGAAGAAGGCCUUCGGGUUGUAAAGCCCUUUUGUUGGGAAAGAAGUCCAGCUGGCUAAUACCCGGUUGGGAUGACGGUACCCAAAGAAUAAGCACCGGCUAACUUCGUGCCAGCCGCCGCGGUAA
Molecule: ribosomal RNA, 506 nt
Filed under: uncultured bacterium
Lineage: Bacteria
Description: partial 16S ribosomal RNA
Rfam family: Bacterial small subunit ribosomal RNA
Source: RNAcentral